UUCGCAAUGCCCGAAAGGGUGACGAAGCGACGCCGCGUGCGGGAAGAAGGCCUUCGGGUUGUAAACCGCUGUCGGGAGUUAGGAAAUGCAAGGAUGUUAAUAGCGUCUUUGCUUGACUAAGGCUCCGGAGGAAGCCACGGCUAACUCUGUGCCAGCAGCCGCGGUAAUACAGAGGCGGCAAGCGUUGUUCGGAAUUAUUGGGCGUAAAGAGCACGUAGGCGGCCGUGUAAGUCGGUUGUGAAAGCCUUCCGCUCAACGGGAGAACGGCAUCCGAUACUGCAUGGCUCGAGUGCGGGAGGGGAGAGUGGAACUUCUGGUGGAGCGGCGAAAUGCGUAGAUAUCAGAAGGAACACCGGCGGCGAAGGCGACUCUCUGGCCCGUAACUGACGCUGAGUGUGCGAAAGCUAGGGGAGCAAACGGGAUUAGAUACCCCGGUAGUCCUAGCCGUAAACGAUGGGCACUAAGUAGAGGGGUUUU
Molecule: ribosomal RNA, 477 nt
Filed under: uncultured bacterium
Lineage: Bacteria
Description: bacterial SSU rRNA
Rfam family: Bacterial small subunit ribosomal RNA
Source: RNAcentral